Etheostoma cragini (Arkansas darter) is the source of this 101-nucleotide long non-coding RNA. RefSeq lists it as uncharacterized. The transcript has 3 exons. The record is from RefSeq and is a predicted model, not a curated record. Lineage: Eukaryota; Metazoa; Chordata; Actinopteri; Perciformes; Percidae.
GAGACUCAGACUCUCUGGACCAGGCUAAUGUACCGGAGUCUGGUAGGACCAGGCUAACUUACCAGAGCCUGGUAGGACUAGGCUUACGUACCAGAGACUGG